Molecule: ribosomal RNA, 164 nt
Filed under: Kieslingia chilensis
Lineage: Eukaryota; Viridiplantae; Streptophyta; Magnoliopsida; Asterales; Asteraceae
Description: 5.8S ribosomal RNA
Rfam family: 5.8S ribosomal RNA
About the family: 5.8S ribosomal RNA (5.8S rRNA) is a component of the large subunit of the eukaryotic ribosome. It is transcribed by RNA polymerase I as part of the 45S precursor that also contains 18S and 28S rRNA. Functionally, it is thought that 5.8S rRNA may be involved in ribosome translocation.
Source: RNAcentral
CAAACGACUCUCGGCAACGGAUAUCUCGGCUCACGCAUCGAUGAAGAACGUAGCAAAAUGCGAUACUUGGUGUGAAUUGCAGAAUCCCGUGAACCAUCGAGUUUUUGAACGCAAGUUGCGCCCGAAGCCAUUCGGCCGAGGGCACGUCUGCCUGGGCGUCUCGC